AUCGCUUCUCGGCCUUUUGGCUAAGAUCAAGUGUAAAGGGUUAACGUAUAAUCAUAGAACAUUUUAUUCAGAAAAUAAAGGCUUUAAAGAUUCUCUAAUUUUCACUUUCCGCAAAAUUUUAGGAAGUAUCUAUA
Molecule: small nuclear RNA, 134 nt
Filed under: Panthera leo (lion)
Lineage: Eukaryota; Metazoa; Chordata; Mammalia; Carnivora; Felidae
Description: U2 spliceosomal RNA (ENSPLOG00000019109.1)
Rfam family: U2 spliceosomal RNA
About the family: U2 is a small nuclear RNA (snRNA) component of the spliceosome (involved in pre-mRNA splicing). Complementary binding between U2 snRNA (in an area lying towards the 5' end but 3' to hairpin I) and the branchpoint sequence (BPS) of the intron results the bulging out of an unpaired adenosine, on the BPS, which initiates a nucleophilic attack at the intronic 5' splice site, thus starting the first of two transesterification reactions that mediate splicing.
Source: Rfam by way of RNAcentral